UUAUGGUCAUAUCAUGCUGAAACACUGGUUCUCGUACAAUAACCGAAGUUAAGCAAAGUCGAGCCUGGUCAGUACCUAGAUGGGUGACCGUUUGGGAAUCUCAAGGGGCCGUAAG
Molecule: non-coding RNA, 115 nt
Organism: Acanthosepion pharaonis
Lineage: Eukaryota; Metazoa; Mollusca; Cephalopoda; Sepiida; Sepiidae
Source: the annotation of a GenBank genome assembly